UACGAAGGGGGCUAGCGUUGUUCGGAAUUACUGGGCGUAAAGGGCGCGUAGGCGGCUGUGUCAAGUCAGGCGUGAAAGCCCCGGGCUCAACCUGGGAACCGCGCUUGAGACUGGCACGCUAGAGUUCGGGAGAGGAUGGUGGAAUUCCCAGUGUAGAGGUGAAAUUCGUAGAUAUUGGGAAGAACACCGAUGGCGAAGGCAGCCAUCUGGACCGACACUGACGCUGAGGCGCGAAAGCGUGGGGAGCAAACAGG
This 254-nucleotide ribosomal RNA is filed under the name uncultured bacterium. RNAcentral describes it as "partial 16S ribosomal RNA". It matches the Rfam family "Bacterial small subunit ribosomal RNA", at positions 524 to 776 of the family's 1533-position model. The record is from RNAcentral.